GAAAUGCGAUACUUGGUGUGAAUUGCAGAAUUCAGUGAAUCAUCGAAUCUUUGAACGCACAUUGCGCCCUCUGGUAUUCCGGGGGGCAUGCCUGUUCGAGCGUCAUUAUAACCACUCAAGCUCUCGCUUGGUAUUGGGGUUCGCGUCUUCGCGGCCUCUAAAAUCAGUGGCGGUGCCUGUCGGCUCUACGCGUAGUAAUACUCCUCGCGAUUGAGUCCGGUCGGUUUACUUGCCAACAACCCCCAAUUUUUUACAGGUUGACCUCGGAUCAGGUAGGGAUACCCGCUGAACUUAA
RNAcentral lists this unclassified non-coding RNA (295 nucleotides) under uncultured Leotiomycetes. Its description in RNAcentral is "sequence contains ITS1". The stretch from base 1 to 105 matches the Rfam family "5.8S ribosomal RNA", at positions 50 to 154 of the family's 154-position model. Lineage: Eukaryota; Fungi; Ascomycota; Leotiomycetes. The record is from RNAcentral.